This 465-nucleotide ribosomal RNA is filed under the name uncultured Klebsiella sp. RNAcentral describes it as "bacterial SSU rRNA". It matches the Rfam family "Bacterial small subunit ribosomal RNA", at positions 338 to 795 of the family's 1533-position model. The record is from RNAcentral. Lineage: Bacteria; Pseudomonadati; Pseudomonadota; Gammaproteobacteria; Enterobacterales; Enterobacteriaceae.
CCUACGGGUGGCUGCAGUGGGGAAUAUUGCACAAUGGGCGCAAGCCUGAUGCAGCCAUGCCGCGUGUGUGAAGAAGGCCUUCGGGUUGUAAAGCACUUUCAGCGGGGAGGAAGGCGGUGAGGUUAAUAACCUCAUCGAUUGACGUUACCCGCAGAAGAAGCACCGGCUAACUCCGUGCCAGCAGCCGCGGUAAUACGGAGGGUGCAAGCGUUAAUCGGAAUUACUGGGCGUAAAGCGCACGCAGGCGGCCUGUCAAGUCGGAUGUGAAAUCCCCGGGCUCAACCUGGGAACUGCAUUCGAAACUGGCAGGCUAGAGUCUUGUAGAGGGGGGUAGAAUUCCAGGUGUAGCGGUGAAAUGCGUAGAGAUCUGGAGGAAUACCGGUGGCGAAGGCGGCCCCCUGGACAAAGACUGACGCUCAGGUGCGAAAGCGUGGGGAGCAAACAGGAUUAGAUACCCUAGUAGUC